RNAcentral lists this ribosomal RNA (244 nucleotides) under uncultured bacterium. RNAcentral's name for it is "partial 16S ribosomal RNA". It matches the Rfam family "Bacterial small subunit ribosomal RNA", at positions 15 to 240 of the family's 1533-position model. The record is from RNAcentral.
GAUCAUGGCUCAGGAUGAACGCUGGCGGCGUGCCUAACACAUGCAAGUCGAACGGAACUAUUUUGGAAACUCCUUCGGGAGCGGAAUCUUUAGUUUAGUGGCGGACGGGUGAGUAACGCGUGAGCAAUCUGCCUUUAAGAGGGGGAUAACAGUCGGAAACGACUGCUAAUACCGCAUAGGCCCACGGCUCGGCAUCGAGCAGAGGGAAAAGGAGCAAUCCGCUUUGAGAUGGCCUCGCGUCCGA